UACAGAGGUCUCAAGCGUUGUUCGGAUUCAUUGGGCGUAAAGGGUGCGUAGGCGGCGCGGUAAGUCGGGUGUGAAAUCUCGGAGCUUAACUCCGAAACUGCAUUCGAUACUGCCGUGCUUGAGGACUGGAGAGGAGACUGGAAUUUACGGUGUAGCGGUGAAAUGCGUAGAUAUCGUAAGGAAGACCAGUGGCGAAGGCGGGUCUCUGGACAGUUCCUGACGCUGAGAUACGAAAGCCAAGGUAGCAAACAGG
RNAcentral lists this ribosomal RNA (253 nucleotides) under uncultured bacterium. RNAcentral's name for it is "partial 16S ribosomal RNA". It matches the Rfam family "Bacterial small subunit ribosomal RNA", at positions 524 to 776 of the family's 1533-position model. The record is from RNAcentral.